This 72-nucleotide transfer RNA is filed under the name Leucopitermes leucops. RNAcentral's name for it is "tRNA-Ile". Lineage: Eukaryota; Metazoa; Arthropoda; Insecta; Blattodea; Termitidae. The record is from RNAcentral.
AAUGAUGAGCCUGAAUUAAAGGACUAUCGUGAUAGGAUAAAAUAUGUAGUCCAAACAGAGCUACCUUCAUUA